Molecule: ribosomal RNA, 445 nt
Filed under: Ligidium sp. PAR4
Lineage: Eukaryota; Metazoa; Arthropoda; Malacostraca; Isopoda; Ligiidae
Description: partial 16S ribosomal RNA
Rfam family: Bacterial large subunit ribosomal RNA
Source: RNAcentral
AUGGCCGCAGCUAUCCUGACUGUGCUAAGGUAGCAUAAUAAUUUGUCUUUUAAUUGAGGACUGGUAUAAAUGAGUUGACGACGAGCAGCCUGUCUCCUUUAGGACGUUUAAACUUACUUUUGAGGUUAAAAAGCCUCAAAACCCCAAAGGGACGACAAGACCCUAAAAACUUUAUUCCUUAUUUGGCACUCAAGAAAUACGACACCUAGGAAUUUAACUGGGGCGGUUAACAAAAACAAGAUUAAACAGAACACUUUGAGUGUAAUUUAAAUACAUGCUUCCAUACAUAAGAACUAGUUACUUUAGGGAUAACAGCGCAAUUUUUCCAGAGAGUUCAAAUCGGCGGAAAAGAUUACGACCUCGAUGUUGAAUUGAAGAUCCUCCUGUAGAGCAGAAGCACAGGAAGGGAGUCUGUUCGACUCUUAAACCUUCACAUGAUCUGAGU